GAGAUGGAGGGGCAGAGCCAGGAGUACAAGAUGCUGCUGGGCAUCAAGACCCGCCUGGAGCAGGAGAUUGCUCAGUACCGGGCACUGCUCCACGAGGGACAGCAAGACCUUGCUUCCUCCCAAGGAGCUUUCCAAGGAGGUGGAAAAUCCUCCCAGUCAUAUUCUUCGAGUUCCUUCUCUCAGUCCCAGUCUGGUGAAGUGUCAGGGCAGUCAAGAGUGUGCUAGAGCAGCAGCAUUGAUGUCAGCAUCCUCCAAAACGCACUGAACUGACCCAUGGACAACAAGAGACAGAACCCGACGCUUCCGCAGUGCAGCUGAUACGAUGCAGCAUCCAUCAUCACCUUCCUUCCCUUCUGCAAUACUGGCCUUACUCCCCUUGUCUUUGUCAACUGAACCUUUGUUUAAAAGCUUGAAUUCUGCUGAAAAUGCCGUCAUUAAUAAAACUUCACUUCUUUGAUGCAAAUUAAAAUGUGUAAGGAAUUUAAUAUAACAAACUUUGCACAUACAUCAUCAAGGCAUCCAACAAAACACAGGCAGUCCCCACAGUCUGUAACAUACACUAAGAACAAACAGUUCUGCUCUAAGCAAAUGGCCACUGUGCCCAGGUGACAUCACUGAGCCCAAGGAGAGAAGGAAAACGAUGGGUGAUCUCAGAAGA
Molecule: non-coding RNA, 658 nt
Organism: Coturnix japonica (Japanese quail)
Lineage: Eukaryota; Metazoa; Chordata; Aves; Galliformes; Phasianidae
Source: RefSeq, a predicted model, not a curated record